AAUGAACGUUGGCGGCGUGGAUUAGGCAUGCGAGUCGUGCGAGAAUCGUAGCAAUACGAGGACAGCGGCGAAAGGGAGAGGACAACGUGAGAAUCUGCCCUCGGAUCGGGGAUAGCGGCGGGAAACUGCCGGUAAUACCCGAUAACGUCUUUGGACCAAAGGUGUGAUUCCGUCCGAGGAUGAACUCACGUCCUAUUAGCUUGUUGGCGGGGUAAUGGCCCACCAAGGCAAUGAUGGGUAGCUGGUGUGAGAGCAUGACCAGCCUCAUUGGCACUGAGACACUGGCCAGACACCUACGGGUGGCUGCAGUCGAGAAUCUUCGGCAAUGGACGAAAGUCUGACCGAGCGACGCCGCGUGCGGGAUGAAGGCCCUUGGGUUGUAAACCGCUGUCGUAGAGGAGCAAAUGUAUUUGGGUACUCCCUUAUACUUGAGCGAUUCUAGGAGGAAGGAGAGGCUAAGCUCGUGCCAGCAGCCGCGGUAAGACGAGCUCUCCAAACGU
This 500-nucleotide ribosomal RNA is filed under the name uncultured bacterium. RNAcentral's name for it is "bacterial SSU rRNA". It matches the Rfam family "Bacterial small subunit ribosomal RNA", at positions 29 to 541 of the family's 1533-position model. The record is from RNAcentral.